CGCUGCUUCGGCCAUUGCCUUUCCUCCCACCUGUCACGCAAACCCUUUGAGGCCUUGGUAGUGGACUACGCCGCGACCUGGUCCACGGAGAGAUAACGCCAUGGUGGCUCGCAGGUUCUUAGUCCGGCAGGUCCCCGCCGACGAGGAGCACACGGUCGAGUACGACACGGAGGACGGACUCGACGUCCUCCGGUUUCAGAUCUUCUCGCUCACCUCCGUCCCGCCCGACCUCCAGAAGAUCGUAGUGGAAGCGGAUGGCUCCGUGGUCGACGACGGCACCGACCUCGAGUCAAUCCCCGAGGGCCUGUGCCUCAUGUCCAUUGACGAGGGGGAGGACGCGGACGCGGCUUCGGCGUUGGCGACGGCGCAGGAGAAGUCCGAUGAGGAACUGGCGAGGUUGAUUGAGAUCGAGGUGGAGGCGGAUGGCUCCGUGGUCGACGACGGCACCGACCUCGAGUCCAUUUCUGAGGUCCUCCGCCUCGUCCCCAUCGGCGAGGGGGAUGACGUGGAUGCAGCGGCGGCUGCAGCUGCGAGGGCGCAGGAGAAGUCCGACGAGGAGCUCGCGAGGAUGAUUCAGGCGGAAGAAGAGGCACUUCUACUGCAACAGUACAGCAUACAAAGUGACGGAGGAGAGGUUUUCAGAGAAAGAGUUGAGCCAUACAUGCGCCAGGUUCUGAAGUACGAGGAUCCGUUGCGUCAGGAAGCAGCUCUGAAGACGGUUCCUGUAGAUGAACUUAAGGAGAAGGCGCUGAUUUCACUGGCCAAGUAGGAAGGGAUCUUCAGUCCUUCGAAAAAUGAAGAGGAUCAUGCCUUUCUGUUGCAAUUGCUCUUCUGGUUUAAGCAAUCAUUCAGAUGGGUUAAUGCACCAGCUUGUGACAUCUGUGACCGUGAAACAUCUGUGGUUGGAAUGGGAAACCCACUUCCCUCAGAAAUUGAAUUCGGUGCCUCCCGUGUUGAGAUCUAUAGGUGCAACCAUUGUUCGAGCAUCACCCGUUUCCCAAGAUACAAUGAUCCGCAUAAGGUAUGAGUAAGCUGUCCUAGCCUCCUGUGAUCCUGGUAGUGGGUGUGUAUUUUUUAAACCAAGCUGGAAAUUAACAUUUCUCGCUUUUUUGUAAGCUUAUACAAACUAGGAAAGGACGCUGUGGAGAAUGGGCGAAUUGCUUCACAUUCUACUGUCGAGUUUAUGGAUAUGAAGCUCGUUUGAUUCUGGAUUUCACUGAUCAUGUCUGGACAGAAUGUUUUUCAAACCUCUAUGGGAGAUGGAUUCACUUAGAUCCAUGCGAAGGAGUCUAUGAUAAUCCCUUGCUGUAUGAGAAAGGGUGGAACAAGAAAUUAGAUUAUGCAAUUGGUAUCUCAAAAGAUGGAGUACAUGAUAUAACAAAACGCUACACCAGAAAGUGGCAUGAGGUUCUCUCUAGGCGGACCAUUACCUCCGAGGAUACAGUUUCAGCUAUUCUGAUGAAUAUAACUAGAAAGUGUCGCAGUGGAUUGUCAAGUGAUGAACUCCUAGCCUUAGAAAACCGUGACAGGAAAGAGUCCGAGGAACUUAGUAAAGCUACCUAUCUUGAAGUUAACAACAGCAUAUCUCUACCUGGAAGGCAAAGUGGUUCUGUGGAAUGGAGAGCAGCAAGGUCAGAAUUGGGCCAAGCAGACUCACUCAGUUGCUCGUCGUGUCCUAUUCGGAGAUGCGUGGAUGCUCAUGUUUCAAAAAUAUAUGAUGCUCUUUCAGCUAUUCUUUCUCAUUUUUGUGAUAAUAACAUCCCUAAUGAAAGAAUCAUUGAAGUUUUCGUCACAUUGAGGAGCUUGAUGCAAAAUCUUAAAGAUGCCAACUUCAAAAGCAGGAGAGUCACAUUAGAUCAAAAAUUGCAGCAAAUUUUUGAGAUACUUCCCUCUGCUGAAAGAUUGCUUUCUGCUAUUUCUUUAAAAGCAGAGUUACACACUGUUGGAGAUCCAUCCGUGGCUACAGAUGGAAAUCUAAUACAUACGUCCUUAGCAUUACCAGUAGCACUAGAUGCAGUUGAUGAGAUACUAAGUAACUAUAAGAGCAAUAUCUUUUACACAAAAGGUCAUCAAUUCCCAAGAGGCAAUAGACUCUGUUCAGGUUCAGUCCUUGCAAGCAGUGAGCAGCUCCCAAUUGGAAUUGCAACAGCAGCCUUUGACGGCAUUCGCUUGUCCAAAUGGGAAGAACCUGAUGGAGCCAAAGGAUGUUGGCUAAUGUACAAGGUGCAUGGUGGCCAAACUUGCGAGUUGGAGUCAUAUGAUUUGAUGUCAGCUAAUGAUGCUCCUGAGAGGGAUCCAAUGGACUGGGUCCUUGAAGGGAGCACAGACCAAGGUUCUACCUGGAAUACUAUUGAUGCUCGGAGUUCUGUAAUCUUCGGCAGCCGUUUCUGUAGGAAAUCAUUUACUGUUGACAAGAGAUACAAAGCAAAUGUACUUCGGUUUCGGUUUCUACGUGGGAGAGAAUCUAGUGCCAAUCCAAGGUUUCAAAUAGGAUCCAUCGAUUUCUACGGGGAAACACACAUGGCCUGAUCGCAGGUGUUAAUUUGUGUGUACAAAACCCAACAAAACCUUGUUGAAUCAUGCACCUAUCAUGGCCAGUACUACAUGCAACCAAUAAUUGUACUGAUUAUCUUGGAUGAUUGUAAAUUCCGGUUCUACUCUGGAAGAGGUUCCUUUCCUUUC
Triticum aestivum (bread wheat) is the source of this 2682-nucleotide RNA transcript. It is a transcript of the gene named peptide-N(4)-(N-acetyl-beta-glucosaminyl)asparagine amidase, with no coding region annotated. The transcript has 16 exons. The record is from RefSeq and is a predicted model, not a curated record. NCBI's taxonomy places the organism in Eukaryota, Viridiplantae, Streptophyta, Magnoliopsida, Poales, Poaceae.